AGAUGGAUGACCUAGUGGGUAAGGCUCUGGGCUGGGACUCAGAAGAUGUGAGUUCAAUUUUCAUUUCAGCUC
Molecule: transfer RNA, 72 nt
Filed under: Chelonia mydas (Green sea turtle)
Lineage: Eukaryota; Metazoa; Chordata; Testudines; Cheloniidae
Rfam family: tRNA
About the family: Transfer RNA (tRNA) molecules are approximately 80 nucleotides in length. Their secondary structure includes four short double-helical elements and three loops (D, anti-codon, and T loops).
Source: Rfam by way of RNAcentral